AUAUUAUGAACUUUUCAAGCAUACACAUACCCAACAACACGAUGGGAAAACAUUCAUAGUUGAAAAAGCCAAACAAAUUCAUGAACAAGUUGCAACGCAACGGGAGAUGUUGACAGGAACUGGGGAGCAAGUGGAUGAUAAUCAAUUAUAUUAUGAUGUGGUUGGUGGACAUGACAAGAAAA
Molecule: long non-coding RNA, 182 nt
Organism: Ipomoea triloba (trilobed morning glory)
Lineage: Eukaryota; Viridiplantae; Streptophyta; Magnoliopsida; Solanales; Convolvulaceae
Exons: 2
Source: RefSeq, a predicted model, not a curated record